UACGAAGGGGGCUAGCGUUGCUCGGAAUCACUGGGCGUAAAGCGCACGUAGGCGGCUUUCUAAGUCAGGGGUGAAAUCCUGGAGCUCAACUCCAGAACUGCCUUUGAUACUGGAGAGCUUGAGUCCGGAAGAGGUGAGUGGAACUCCGAGUGUAGAGGUGAAAUUCGUAGAUAUUCGGAAGAACACCAGUGGCGAAGGCGGCUCACUGGCCCGGUACUGACGCUGAGGCGCGAAAGCGUGGGGAGCAAACAGG
This 253-nucleotide ribosomal RNA is filed under the name uncultured bacterium. Its description in RNAcentral is "partial 16S ribosomal RNA". It matches the Rfam family "Bacterial small subunit ribosomal RNA", at positions 524 to 776 of the family's 1533-position model. The record is from RNAcentral.